AUGCUGCUGGAGAAAUGCCUGGGCAAGGGGCAGAGCAACCACUGCUGCACAAGGUCUCAGGCACAGGAACAGAGAGUGACCUGCCACCAAGGAGAAAAAGAAAGGAGGAAGGAGAGUGACUUGCCACUCCACCCUGCUUCUCUCUGGACCUGGGAACUCAUCCUCACUGCUUCUGAUACUGAGAAUGGAAAUCCAGGGGCUUCAAUCCAACAUUUCUCUUAAGUUACUCAUUCACAAAGUGUAUUAUCCUAUUUUAUUUAUUUAUUUAUUUUCAAGAUGGGGUCUUGCUCUUUCGCCAGGAUGGAGUAGAGUGGCACCAUCUCAGCUCACUGCAACCUCCACAUCCUGGGCUCAAGUGAUUCUUCUGCCUCAGCCUCCCAAGUAGCUGGGAUUACAGGUGAGCACCACCAUGUCCAGAUAAUUUUGGAAUUUUUAGUAGAGACGGGGUUUCAGCAUGUUGGCCAGGAUGGUCUCAAUCUCUUGACCUCAUGAUCUGCCAGUCUCAGCCUCCCAAAGCGCUGGAAUUACAGGCGUGAGCCACCAUACCCAGCCUAUUUAUUUUAUUUUAUUCUUUGCUCCCUUGUUUGAACAUGGGAUCUGUGAGUGAUUCAAAGUGUAAACUUUGAAUGCCAUUUUGACAGGAAGUCUACAUUAUUUUAUUACCUAUUUUUAAACAAACUAAACAUUGCAUCCUAAUCCCACUCCUCUUAAUGGCAUUAAGAGGUUAAUGCUGAACUGAAGCUGUAACAUGGGGAGAAAGCACACACUCACACCAUACACUACUUAAUCAGCACGCCUCAUCCUCACUCAAAUAAGAGGGAGCUACAAUGGCUUUAAACUUCUCCCUCUUAUACAAAAAUAAAAAGAUAAAUUACAUGAGACAUUUUUCUCAUGAAAGAAAGAUGACAUUUUUUCACAUUCACUCAGGGAUAGUGAUUUGAUGUCCUGUAUCAGUUUGGAAGAGUGAAUUGGGCAGUGGUCACCUCUUGCCUCUCUGCUACUUCCUCCUAGAAGUUGCAUGUAGCCUCAUGACUCUUGUAUCCACAUACUGGUCAUCAGCUAAGAAAAGCCUAUAAGAAUGAAGCAUUGGUUUAUCCUCCUCCCCACAAAAAACAAAACCCAAUGUUUAAUAUGAAUUGUAAUGGAUUUUGAAAUCUAAGAUAAAUGAUACUUUAAAAAUAAACAGCUUGGAAUAAUUCUUGUGAUGUUGUUCUCCCUUUUUUGGCAAAGAAUGAAAUUGAGAAGAUGAAGGAGGUUUACAUUUGGACUUGUUUUAAAUUUUAAGAAGCUGUUCUUUUAAAUUUACCAUCUGUUACUUCAAUACUUCUAAGUGUCUAUGGUAACUGUUCAGGGAUACCAGGCAGAACCAUGGUGUAAUUGGGUAUGGCUUGACCCCUACUGUGCCUUUCUCAUGGAAGGAGACCAACUCAUUGUGAGUCUCAUCACAUUACAAGAGCAUUUCCCUGAAAAUAUGUUAGCCUUCUGGUUAAUGCACAGCAGAGACAAGAAUUAGUUAUAGAUAUUUUUGUAAGCCAUUUGAAUUACAGGGUGCUAAUCUGAGAAGAAAAUUCUACCAUCCUUCUGAGGUGAACCUCCACACAAACUAUAGUAUUUUAACAUUAUAUGCUAGAUCUUAAAUAACACCAAGUAAAUAUGUUUAAGCCAUGCAAUUAGUCUUUGAUUAAGAAAGAAUGAUCCGUAUUGCCAGUUUGCAGAUUCCAUUGUUUUCCUGAGAUGCUUUUGAGUUGAAGAAAUUACAAGAAAUACAUUGGGUUUAUUAAAACUUUUACUUUAAGUUCAAGGGUACAUGUGCAGGAUGGACAAGUUUGUUGCAUAGGUAAAUGUGUGUCAUGGUAGUUUGUUAAAUACGGAUUAUUUCAUCAUCCAGGUAUUAAGUAUCCAUUAGUUAUUUUUCCUGAUCCCUUCCUCCACCUCCCUCCUCCCACCCUCCACCUUCAGAUAAGCACCAGUGUAUGUCAUUCUUCUCUAUGUGCCCAUGUGUUAUUUAGGUCUCCCUUAUAAGGGAGAACAUGCUGUAUUUGGUUUUCUGUUCCUGUGUUAGUUUGCUAAGGUUAAUGACCUCCAGUUCCAUCCAUGUCUCUGAAAAAGACAUGAUCUCAUUCUUUUUUAUGGUUGCAUAUUCCACAGUGUAUAUGUACCACAUUUUCUUUAUCCAGCCUAUAAUUGAUGGGCAUUUAGGUUGAUUCCAUGUCUUCACUAUUGUGAAUAGUGCUGCAGUGAACACACAUGUGCACGUGUCUUUUAAAAAAAAUUUUUUCCAUAGACUGUUGGGGUACAGGUGGUAUUUGGUUACAUGAGUAAGUUCUUUAGUGGUGAUUUGUGAGAUUUUGGUUCACCCAACACCUAAGCAGUAUACAUUUCACCCUAUUUGCAGUAUUUUAUUCCUCAUCCCCAUUUUUUUCCCCAAGUCCCCAAAGUCCAUCCUAUCAUUCUUAUGCCUUUGCAUUCUCCUAGCUUAACUCUCACAUAUCAGUGAGAACAUAUGAUGUUUGGUUUUUCAUUCCUGUGUUACUUCACUUAGAAUAAUAAUCUCCAA
RNAcentral lists this long non-coding RNA (2557 nucleotides) under Callithrix jacchus (white-tufted-ear marmoset). RNAcentral describes it as "lncRNA (ENSCJAG00000075078.1)". Lineage: Eukaryota; Metazoa; Chordata; Mammalia; Primates; Cebidae. The record is from RNAcentral.